This 244-nucleotide long non-coding RNA is filed under the name Lathyrus oleraceus (garden pea). RNAcentral's name for it is "Pisum sativum (pea) long non-coding RNA (PSAT_LNC029192)". Lineage: Eukaryota; Viridiplantae; Streptophyta; Magnoliopsida; Fabales; Fabaceae. The record is from RNAcentral.
GGUUCAGCAGAAUUUUGCGCAAGUUUGGCAUCCGAUGUCAGAAUACCUCAUAUUAUAUAUUCUCGGAAAGGAAAUCGUCCCAGAAAUCAAACUCGUUGUAAAUAAUGAUUAUUCGAUUUUUAAGUUGUUUAAGCUCGUUUAAGUUCCGAAAACAGCGUUUUACUAUUUUCUGAAAUUUUAGCAAUUUAUAUUUUAUUUGUUUUAUUUAUUUAUUUUGUUUAUGAUUAAAACCCAUAAGACUCAU